This 18-nucleotide unclassified non-coding RNA is filed under the name Dictyostelium discoideum. Lineage: Eukaryota; Evosea; Eumycetozoa; Dictyosteliales; Dictyosteliaceae. The record is from RNAcentral.
CGGGUGAAAUCUGUGCAA